UACAGAGGGGGCAAGCGUUGUUCGGAAUUACUGGGCGUAAAGGGCGCGUAGGCGGCCUGCUAAGUCGAACGUGAAAUCCCUGGGCUCAACCCAGGAACUGCGUCCGAUACUGGUUGGCUUGAAUCCGGGAGAGGGAUGUGGAAUUCCAGGUGUAGCGGUGAAAUGCGUAGAUAUCUGGAGGAACACCGGUGGCGAAGGCGACAUCCUGGACCGGCAUUGACGCUGAGACGCGAAAGCCAGGGGAGCAAACGGG
Molecule: ribosomal RNA, 253 nt
Filed under: uncultured bacterium
Lineage: Bacteria
Description: partial 16S ribosomal RNA
Rfam family: Bacterial small subunit ribosomal RNA
Source: RNAcentral